Long non-coding RNA from Gossypium arboreum, 330 nucleotides. RefSeq lists it as uncharacterized. NCBI's taxonomy places the organism in Eukaryota, Viridiplantae, Streptophyta, Magnoliopsida, Malvales, Malvaceae. The transcript is spliced from 2 exons. The record is from RefSeq and is a predicted model, not a curated record.
ACAUAAGAGUGGAUGGGAAGCUGGCUUUAAAUAGAGAGAACCAUGAGGAGAGUAAAGGUACCUUUCUUGGCUGAUCCCUUUCGCUUUAUGGCGUGCUCGUUUGGGUUGGGCGUCGGCUAAGAGUGCUCGGAGCGUGGAUUAACUCCAGUCUCCAAUCAGGUAAUUUCCAGCCUUAGAUGGAUCGGGGUUGCUAGGGGCUCGGAGGAAGCCACACACACUAUUUAUGUUACAGUUUUGAUUAUUACCUUUAAAUUAUUUUAUGUGGGUUGUAGUAAAGCCAUUGUAAUUUUCUGGAUUUCAAAUUUGGAAUUUUAUUGAUUGUUCUUAUAA